AGAAAGGCAGCUGAGUUAGAACUUAACAGCGUCAGUCCUUCACCCGACACGGUCAAAGAGG
Molecule: non-coding RNA, 61 nt
Filed under: unclassified sequences
Description: cow-rumen-1 RNA
Rfam family: cow-rumen-1 RNA
About the family: cow rumen metagenome. Environment (Cow rumen (57))
Source: Rfam by way of RNAcentral